UUAAGCGACUAAGCGUACACGGUGGAUGCCCUGGCAGUCAGAGGCGAUGAAGGGCGUGCUAAUCUGCGAUAAGCGCCGGUAAGGUGAUAUGAACCGUUAUAACCGGCGAUACCCGAAUGGGGAAACCCAGUGUGACUCGUCACACUAUCAUUAACUGAAUCCAUAGGUUAAUGAGGCGAACCGGGGGAACUGAAACAUCUAAGUACCCCGAGGAAAAGAAAUCAACCGAGAUUCCCCCAGUAGCGGCGAGCGAACGGGGAGGAGCCCAGAGCCUGAAUCAGCAUGUGUGUUAGUGGAAGCGUCUGGAAAGGCGCGCGAUACAGGGUGACAGCCCCGUACACAAAAGCGCAUAUGCUGUGAGCUCGAUGAGUAGGGCGGGACACGUGGUAUCCUGUCUGAAUAUGGGGGGACCAUCCUCCAAGGCUAAAUACUCCUGACUGACCGAUAGUGAACCAGUACCGUGAGGGAAAGGCGAAAAGAACCCCGGCGAGGGGAGUGAAAAAGAACCUGAAACCGUGUACGUACAAGCAGUGGGAGCCCCACCACCAAAGCGUUUCGCUUUGUGUGGUGCACAAAGAAGCGUAACGACAGCACUGAAUGACGGUUAACGGAGCGCAAGCGACGUUCAACAUACAAAGUCAAGCAGUGGAGCGCUUUGGGGUGGGGUGACUGCGUACCUUUUGUAUAAUGGGUCAGCGACUUAUAUUCUGUAGCAAGGUUAACCGAAUAGGGGAGCCGGAGGGAAACCGAGUCUUAACCGGGCGUUAAGUUGCAGGGUAUAGACCCGAAACCCGGUGAUCUAGCCAUGGGCAGGUUGAAGGUUGGGUAACACUAACUGGAGGACCGAACCGACUAAUGUUGAAAAAUUAGCGGAUGACCUGUGGCUGGGGGUGAAAGGCCAAUCAAACCGGGAGAUAGCUGGUUCUCCCCGAAAGCUAUUUAGGUAGCGCCUCGUGAACUCAUCUCCGGGGGUAGAGCACUGUUUCGGCUAGGGGGCCAUCCCGGCUUACCAACCCGAUGCAAACUGCGAAUACCGGAGAAUGUUAUCACGGGAGACACACGGCGGGUGCUAACGUCCGUCGUGAAGAGGGAAACAACCCAGACCGCCAGCUAAGGUCCCAAAGUCAUGGUUAAGUGGGAAACGAUGUGGGAAGGCCCAGACAGCCAGGAUGUUGGCUUAGAAGCAGCCAUCAUUUAAAGAAAGCGUAAUAGCUCACUGGUCGAGUCGGCCUGCGCGGAAGAUGUAACGGGGCUAAACCAUGCACCGAAGCUGCGGCAGCGACGCUUAUGCGUUGUUGGGUAGGGGAGCGUUCUGUAAGCCUGUGAAGGUGGCCUGUGAGGGUUGCUGGAGGUAUCAGAAGUGCGAAUGCUGACAUAAGUAACGAUAAAGCGGGUGAAAAGCCCGCUCGCCGGAAGACCAAGGGUUCCUGUCCAACGUUAAUCGGGGCAGGGUGAGUCGACCCCUAAGGCGAGGCCGAAAGGCGUAGUCGAUGGGAAACGGGUUAAUAUUCCCGUACUUGGUGUUACUGCGAAGGGGGGACGGAGAAGGCUAUGUUGGCCGGGCGACGGUUGUCCCGGUUUAAGCGUGUAGGUGUGUGUUCCAGGUAAAUCCGGUUCACUUUAACACUGAGGCGUGACGACGAGGCACUACGGUGCUGAAGCAACAAAUGCCCUGCUUCCAGGAAAAGCCUCUAAGCAUCAGGUAACAUCAAAUCGUACCCCAAACCGACACAGGUGGUCAGGUAGAGAAUACCAAGGCGCUUGAGAGAACUCGGGUGAAGGAACUAGGCAAAAUGGUGCCGUAACUUCGGGAGAAGGCACGCUGACACGUAGGUGAAGUGAUUUACUCACGGAGCUGAAGUCAGUCGAAGAUACCAGCUGGCUGCAACUGUUUAUUAAAAACACAGCACUGUGCAAACACGAAAGUGGACGUAUACGGUGUGACGCCUGCCCGGUGCCGGAAGGUUAAUUGAUGGGGUCAGCGCAAGCGAAGCUCCUGAUCGAAGCCCCGGUAAACGGCGGCCGUAACUAUAACGGUCCUAAGGUAGCGAAAUUCCUUGUCGGGUAAGUUCCGACCUGCACGAAUGGCGUAAUGAUGGCCAGGCUGUCUCCACCCGAGACUCAGUGAAAUUGAACUCGCUGUGAAGAUGCAGUGUACCCGCGGCAAGACGGAAAGACCCCGUGAACCUUUACUAUAGCUUGACACUGAACAUUGAGCCUUGAUGUGUAGGAUAGGUGGGAGGCUUUGAAGUGUGGACGCCAGUCUGCAUGGAGCCGACCUUGAAAUACCACCCUUUAAUGUUUGAUGUUCUAACGUGGACCCGUAAUCCGGGUUGCGGACAGUGUCUGGUGGGUAGUUUGACUGGGGCGGUCUCCUCCUAAAGAGUAACGGAGGAGCACGAAGGUUGGCUAAUCCUGGUCGGACAUCAGGAGGUUAGUGCAAUGGCAUAAGCCAGCUUGACUGCGAGCGUGACGGCGCGAGCAGGUGCGAAAGCAGGUCAUAGUGAUCCGGUGGUUCUGAAUGGAAGGGCCAUCGCUCAACGGAUAAAAGGUACUCCGGGGAUAACAGGCUGAUACCGCCCAAGAGUUCAUAUCGACGGCGGUGUUUGGCACCUCGAUGUCGGCUCAUCACAUCCUGGGGCUGAAGUAGGUCCCAAGGGUAUGGCUGUUCGCCAUUUAAAGUGGUACGCGAGCUGGGUUUAGAACGUCGUGAGACAGUUCGGUCCCUAUCUGCCGUGGGCGCUGGAGAACUGAGGGGGGCUGCUCCUAGUACGAGAGGACCGGAGUGGACGCAUCACUGGUGUUCGGGUUGUCAUGCCAAUGGCACUGCCCGGUAGCUAAAUGCGGAAGAGAUAAGUGCUGAAAGCAUCUAAGCACGAAACUUGCCCCGAGAUGAGUUCUCCCUGAGACUUAAAGUCUCCUGAAGGAACGUUGAAGACGACGACGUUGAUAGGCCGGGUGUGUAAGCGCAGCGAUGCGUUGAGCUAACCGGUACUAAUGAACCGUGAGGCUUAACCUU
Molecule: ribosomal RNA, 3019 nt
Filed under: Salmonella enterica subsp. enterica
Lineage: Bacteria; Pseudomonadati; Pseudomonadota; Gammaproteobacteria; Enterobacterales; Enterobacteriaceae
Description: bacterial LSU rRNA
Rfam family: Bacterial large subunit ribosomal RNA
Source: RNAcentral